RNAcentral lists this non-coding RNA (107 nucleotides) under Pelobacter propionicus. RNAcentral's name for it is "SAM-I sequence". It matches the Rfam family "SAM riboswitch aptamer (S box leader)". From Rfam's summary of the family: The SAM riboswitch is found upstream of a number of genes which code for proteins involved in methionine or cysteine biosynthesis in Gram-positive bacteria. The SAM riboswitch acts at the level of transcription termination control. RNAcentral also lists the same sequence under 1 other name. Lineage: Bacteria; Pseudomonadati; Thermodesulfobacteriota; Desulfuromonadia; Desulfuromonadales; Desulfuromonadaceae. The record is from RNAcentral.
UGCUUAUCAAGAGUGGUGGAGGGAAAGGCCCUGUGAAACCACAGCAACCGGCCGUCAUGGCGCCAGGUGCUAAUUCCUGCCGUCAGGCAAAGAUGAGAGGGUGUGCU